GACGAACGCUGGCGGCGUGCUUAACACAUGCAAGUCGAACGGAAAGGCCCUGCUUUUGUGGGGUGCUCGAGUGGCGAACGGGUGAGUAACACGUGAGUAACCUGCCCUUGACUUUGGGAUAACUUCAGGAAACUGGGGCUAAUACCGGAUAGGAGCUCCUGCUGCAUGGUGGGGGUUGGAAAGUUUCGGCGGUUGGGGAUGGACUCGCGGCUUAUCAGCUUGUUGGUGGGGUAGUGGCUUACCAAGGCUUUGACGGGUAGCCGGCCUGCGAGGGUGACCGGCCACAUUGGGACUGGGAUACGGCCCAGACUCCUACGGGAGGCAGCAGUGGGGAAUAUUGCACAAUGGGCGGAAGCCUGAUGCAGCAACGCCGCGUGCGGGAUGACGGCCUUCGGUUUGUAAACCGCUUUCGCCUGUGACGAAGCGUGAGUGACGGUAAUGGGUAAAGAAGCACCGGCUAACUACGUG
Molecule: ribosomal RNA, 468 nt
Filed under: uncultured bacterium
Lineage: Bacteria
Description: partial 16S ribosomal RNA
Rfam family: Bacterial small subunit ribosomal RNA
Source: RNAcentral